CCUACGGGUGGCAGCAGUAGGGAAUUUUCGGCAAUGGGGGGAACCCUGACCGAGCAACGCCGCGUGAACGAAGAAGUUAUUCGUAAUGUAAAGUUCUUUUAACAGGGAAGAAAGAGACAUUUGACGGUACCCCUUGAAUAAGCCACGGCUAACUACGUGCCAGCAGCCGCGGUAAUACGUAGGUGGCAAGCGUUGUCCGGAUUUACUGGGUGUAAAGGGCGUGCAGCCGGAGAGACAAGUCAGAUGUGAAAUCCACGGGCUCAACCCGUGAACUGCAUUUGAAACUGUUUCCCUUGAGUGUCGGAGAGGUAAUCGGAAUUCCUUGUGUAGCGGUGAAAUGCGUAGAUAUAAGGAAGAACACCAGUGGCGAAGGCGGAUUACUGGACGAUAACUGACGGUGAGGCGCGAAAGCGUGGGGAGCAAACAGGAUUAGAUACCCGAGUAGUC
RNAcentral lists this ribosomal RNA (447 nucleotides) under uncultured bacterium. RNAcentral describes it as "partial 16S ribosomal RNA". It matches the Rfam family "Bacterial small subunit ribosomal RNA", at positions 338 to 795 of the family's 1533-position model. The record is from RNAcentral.